GUCGAACGGUGAAGCCCCGCUUGCGGGGUGGAUCAGUGGCGAACGGGUGAGUAACACGUGAGCAACCUGCCCCUGACUCUGGGAUAAGCGCUGGAAACGGCGUCUAAUACUGGAUACGAGACGUGAUCGCAUGGUCAACGUUUGGAAAGAUUUUUCGGUUGGGGAUGGGCUCGCGGCCUAUCAGCUUGUUGGUGAGGUAAUGGCUCACCAAGGCGUCGACGGGUAGCCGGCCUGAGAGGGUGACCGGCCACACUGGGACUGAGACACGGCCCAGACUCCUACGGGAGGCAGCAGUGGGGAAUAUUGCACAAUGGGCGCAAGCCUGAUGCAGCAACGCCGCGUGAGGGAUGACGGCCUUCGGGUUGUAAACCUCUUUUAGCAGGGAAGAAGCGAGAGUGACGGUACCUGCAGAAAAAGCACCGGCUAACUACGUGCCAGCAGCCGCGGUAAUACGUAGGGUGCAAGCGUUAUCCGGAAUUAUUGGGCGUAAAGAGCUCGUAGGCGGUUUGUCGCGUCUGCUGUGAAAUCUGGGGGCUCAACCCCCAGCCUGCAGUGGGUACGGGCAGACUAGAGUGCGGUAGGGGAGAUUGGAAUUCCUGGUGUAGCGGUGGAAUGCGCAGAUAUCAGGAGGAACACCGAUGGCGAAGGCAGAUCUCUGGGCCGUAACUGACGCUGAGGAGCGAAAGGGUGGGGAGCAAACAGGCUUAGAUACCCUGGUAGUCCACCCCGUAAACGUUGGGAACUAGUUGUGGGGUCCAUUCCACGGAUUCCGUGACGCAGCUAACGCAUUAAGUUCCCCGCCUGGGGA
This 808-nucleotide ribosomal RNA is filed under the name Microbacterium sp. VPMK38. Its description in RNAcentral is "bacterial SSU rRNA". It matches the Rfam family "Bacterial small subunit ribosomal RNA", at positions 61 to 879 of the family's 1533-position model. Lineage: Bacteria; Bacillati; Actinomycetota; Actinomycetes; Micrococcales; Microbacteriaceae. The record is from RNAcentral.